This is a non-coding RNA of Paramuricea clavata, 115 nucleotides long. Lineage: Eukaryota; Metazoa; Cnidaria; Anthozoa; Malacalcyonacea; Plexauridae. The record is from the annotation of a GenBank genome assembly.
UUUUAUUCUUCCUUUGUUGGUCUAAUAUUUUCCGAGACUUUGUACUCGAUGUUACUAGUAUAGUAACAUUGAGUACAAAGUCUCGGAAAAUAUUAGUCCAACAAAGAAGGAAUAA